Molecule: long non-coding RNA, 1426 nt
Organism: Gallus gallus (chicken)
Lineage: Eukaryota; Metazoa; Chordata; Aves; Galliformes; Phasianidae
Exons: 5
Source: RefSeq, a predicted model, not a curated record
AUUCUGCAGCUGUGUAAACAUCAGCCGCAACCUCAGCUGCUGCUGUGAGGGAAGGACAUGGAGCUGUGGGGAGCUGGGGGUUCCUCCAGCAGCUUUCCUUGUCCAGAGCUGAUCCUGUAUUUUCUGGAAGCAUUCGCUUUGACUCCAUCUGUCCUUGGAUUCGGCCUCCUGCAUGUCCCAGAGAGUCCCGCAGCCUCAGGAGAGCAAUGGUAUCAGGAAUGAGCCUUUCUCACCGCGCCGCUGGCAGAAGAGGAGUUUGAUACCUGCGGGGUAGUAACAAGCAGAACCAUUCAGAUUCUGUCCACAAAUCCACGUGGUGAACGCAGCUCAGGCCUGCAGCACAAGGCUGUUGAGCACUGAUGCGAAGGCCUGCACCAACCCUCGUCCGGCGCUGGGCCCAGCCGUUGGACUGGGGUUGUAAAAGCGGAAAAAUAAGCGUGUGUUGUGCUUAGGCUGCAGCCAUUCUGCCUAAAUUGGGGAACAUUCUGCAAAUAUUUCAAGUCCAAUACUACUGGUGCUGUCAUUGCUGCCUCACAGUCACCGGGCUGUAGCAGCCAUAGGUUGGUCUCAGUGCCUGCAGCUGGGCAGCCUCUCGUUUGGACAAGCAAGACUAUCAAAAGACUGAAAAUCGGCCACGUGAAUGUGUUCAUGGCCACUUACAGGAGUGGGGAGCUCUGCCUCCUGGCUGCAGAAGCAUUGCAAAUCUCCUCGAAAUACAACCAUCUUCUGAUCAAGUACGCAGCAGAUGUGCCACAACCUACAAGGGCAUGGAUGGAUGGACAGACAGACGGAUGGAUGGGCAGUGGCUGUACUGCCAGCCUUCUCUCAGAACAUUCUGUUUUUCUCUUGGUUCCCACACGGCACUGUGGCAGUCACAACUUCCAAACAAGACCGUGUGCAUUUCUGGCUCUCCUGUAGGACUCAUCUCAUGCAGCUUGGUGCGAUGUUCAGUGCUACUCAAGACACCAACAUUCCAGCACUGCUAUGCCCCGUGCCUGGUGUGCUCUGAAAACAGCGGCAGAAUACAAAUCAACCCACCCCAUGCACAGACGGCUGGGAUCCUUUGAGACUCUUGUUUUAUGGAUGAAAUAAAUUCAGCCAAUGGGGAAUGGAAGGCACAGUAAGUGUAAAAAAAAAAAAAAACAACCCUUCUGAAUAUUUUUUUCUCUAGUCAAUAGCUUACACAACAGACAUGUGAAGGGAGAUGCUACCUGGCUCAAUGGUGGUGGUCACAGCUUUCCUGUUAUCGGAAGAAAUGUACGGAUAGGUUCCCUCCGAGGCAAGGCCUUCCUGGAGAGCAUAAAUAAUACAUAGCAAUAGCAAUAUUGGUUUUAUUUGGAAAAAAAAGAAAAAAGAAAUGGAAUCUGCCUUGGAGACAGAGCCAGGCUGGAGGCAGCCACAGUGAAGAUGAGGGUGAUGCACCACA